CACGUCUUAGUUUUGAUCUUAGCUAAACAGCAACUAACCACUUCCUUUCCUUUGCACUUCCUCCACAAAUACAUAUAAGAGGUGAUGGUGAUGUUCCGCUCUGUCUUUCUGUCGGAUGGUCAUCAUGUUCAGUGUAGACAAAGCAGCUCUACUUUCCAUUCAGCUGUUUGUGGUGUGCCACGCCCAUGCAGGGGAUCUACAAGUUGACCACAGGAAUAUACUGGUGUCCAGGGGAGACUCCAUCAGUCUCACUUGCAACAUAUCCAUGAAAAAUGCAACACAAAUCAAUUGGACCAAAGACAAAAAAAACAUUUUUACUUAUUCAAAAAAACAUAAUCAGACUUUUUCAAAUUUCACCUCUCACAGACUCAGAAUAGAGACGGACUCACCUACACAGCUGAACAUUUCUAAUGCUCAGCAUGACGACUCAGGACUUUACACAUGUAAUGUAAAUGCUAGAAAUGGUCCACAGGACAUUGUCUGGAAUUUAACUGUGUCUCAGAGCCUUGACGAAAUGAUUCUAUCAUGGCCUUUUCUAUACAUACUCGCACCUGUAACUGGAUUUCUUCUAUGCAGCUUGAUGGUAGCUGUCUGCAUCUGCAGGAAACAUGGGACCAUGACCCCAAACCAGAAUCCAGUCCAAGGCCAGUUUGACCUUCAGUCAGGAGGAGAGGUCAUUGUCAUCUUAGACACUCUCAGAUUUCUCUGCUUUAUUUUCUUAUUGAUUGUGUUGAACUUUAUAUUUAUCUUCUACUCCUCCAGGGGGUCGUCUCUCAGGAGCAGGCUGACAUGGAUCAUAGGCCAAAUAACAGGAGGAGUCAGUACUUGGAGAAACUGA
RNAcentral lists this long non-coding RNA (838 nucleotides) under Mastacembelus armatus (zig-zag eel). RNAcentral describes it as "lncRNA (ENSMAMG00000024591.1)". Lineage: Eukaryota; Metazoa; Chordata; Actinopteri; Synbranchiformes; Mastacembelidae. The record is from RNAcentral.